AAAAGUUAAAAUUGUAUGGAGUUGGAACGUUUGCCUAUGUUUGCCGCUAGGGGCACUGUUCCAGCUGCAUACAAAUUUCAGGUA
RNAcentral lists this microRNA precursor (84 nucleotides) under Bombyx mori (domestic silkworm). RNAcentral describes it as "mir-2807 microRNA precursor family". It matches the Rfam family "mir-2807 microRNA precursor family". Lineage: Eukaryota; Metazoa; Arthropoda; Insecta; Lepidoptera; Bombycidae. The record is from Rfam by way of RNAcentral.